RNAcentral lists this ribosomal RNA (431 nucleotides) under uncultured bacterium. RNAcentral describes it as "partial 16S ribosomal RNA". It matches the Rfam family "Bacterial small subunit ribosomal RNA", at positions 29 to 507 of the family's 1533-position model. The record is from RNAcentral.
AACGAACGCUGGCGGCAGGCUUAACACAUGCAAGUCGAGCGCCCCGCCAGGGGAGCGGCAGACGGGUGAGUAACGCGAGGGGACGUACACAUUGGAGCGGACCAACUCCGGGAAACGGGUGACAACACGGGACAAGCGCUAAUGCGGAAAGAUUGAUCGCCGAAAGAUGGGCGCGCGUGUGAUUAGCUAGUGGGUGAGGUAAAGGCGCACCAAGGCGGCGAUCAGUGGCUGGUCUGAGAGGAUGAUCAGCCGCACUGGGACUGAGACACGGCCCAGACUCCUACGGGGGGGAGCGGUGGGGAAUAUUGGGCGAUGGGCGCAAGCCUGAUCCAGCCAUGCCGGGGGAGUGAUGAAGGCCUUAGGGUUGUAAAGCUCUUUUGUCCGGGAAGAUAAUGACGGUACCGGAAGAAUAAGCCCCGGCUAACUUCGUG